This 253-nucleotide ribosomal RNA is filed under the name uncultured bacterium. Its description in RNAcentral is "partial 16S ribosomal RNA". It matches the Rfam family "Bacterial small subunit ribosomal RNA", at positions 524 to 776 of the family's 1533-position model. The record is from RNAcentral.
UACGUAGGGUGCAAGCGUUAAUCGGAAUUACUGGGCGUAAAGCGUGCGCAGGCGGUUGUGUAAGUCUGUCGUGAAAUCCCCGGGCUCAACCUGGGAAUUGCGAUGGAGACUGCACGGCUAGAGUGUGUCAGAGGGGGGUAGAAUUCCACGUGUAGCAGUGAAAUGCGUAGAUAUGUGGAGGAAUACCGAUGGCGAAGGCAGCCCCCUGGGAUAACACUGACGCUCAUGCACGAAAGCGUGGGGAGCAAACAGG